Molecule: ribosomal RNA, 409 nt
Filed under: bacterium
Lineage: Bacteria
Description: partial 16S ribosomal RNA
Rfam family: Bacterial small subunit ribosomal RNA
Source: RNAcentral
UGGGGAAUAUUGCACAAUGGGCGAAAGCCUGAUGCAGCGACGCCGCGUGAGGGAUGACGGCCUUCGGGUUGUAAACCUCUUUCAGUAGGGACGAAGCGCAAGUGACGGUACCUGCAGAAGAAGCACCGGCUAACUACGUGCCAGCAGCCGCGGUAAUACGUAGGGUGCGAGCGUUGUCCGGAAUUACUGGGCGUAAAGAGCUAGUAGGCGGUUUGUCACGUCGUCUGUGAAAUCCUAGGGCUUAACCAUGGACGGGCAGGCGAUACGGGCUGACUUGAGUACUACAGGGGAGAGUGGAAGUUCUGGUGUAGCGGUGGAAUGCACAGAUAUCAGGAAGAACACCGAUGGCGAAGGAAGGUCUCUGGGUAGUAACUGACGCUGAGGAGCGAAAGCAUGGGUAGCGAACAGG